Ictidomys tridecemlineatus (thirteen-lined ground squirrel) is the source of this 923-nucleotide non-coding RNA. Lineage: Eukaryota; Metazoa; Chordata; Mammalia; Rodentia; Sciuridae. The record is from RefSeq and is a predicted model, not a curated record.
GGGGGGGGGGGUUCUUUUUUAAUAAAGAUGGAAAAAUGGUCUUCACUGCUUUGUUCUCCCAGUGGGGCUGGAGGUGGGGAGGCCCCAGACUUCGGGAGGUUGAUGUCCCUAGUUUCUGACCUUUUCCUUCUCUUAGGCUCAGCUCUUGGGCACCACAAGAGUCUGGAGAAUGUAGAGUGUCAUAGAAUGCUGCAGACUCCUCUAGGCAAGGCUGGCACUGGGCCUAAAGGGGCAUUUGGGAAGUCCCCAGAGUUCACUGGAUGCCAGAGGGACUGGCAGUGAAACACCAUGCAGAAGGAGGAAUCCUCCCAGAGCUGUCUAGCCAAGGAUCAACCUGAGACUGACCUGACAGCUCCUUCCCACACACCAAACACAUGCCCACCAGGGGCGAGCCCUGGCUAGCAUCUGCUUGUUCACCCCGCCAAACUUUGAGGAGGAAUUAGCAACACCUCCGUGCAGGAAACUAAGAAUUGAGGAUGUGAAAUCUGACCAGAAGGCACAGGGGCUGGAAUCCUGCCAAUCUCAAGCACAGACCAGAUUCACCCAUCCUGCAGCAGGCUGUGCAUCUGAAUCCUCCCAGAGCUGCCUCUGGCCAAGGAUCAACCUGGGACUGACCUGACAGCUCCUGCCUGCACACCAAACACCCAUUCAGGAACCCCACCCUCCAGCCCCUCUAUGUAGGACUGGGCUGAGACCCAGGAUCCAAGCUGCAGCCUCUGAACAUCCGGCUCAUCACGUGCCAAAGAUUCUGCAGCUGGAGGCUCCAGCCUCAUAUCCCUCCCACAACGUCCCAGGGCUGGGUUUCUUUCCUCUCCCAUGUCCUUUGCUUGGGCCAGGAAUGUGCUAACGGGGCAGGUUGGGCUCUGUUGUUCUACUCAGGCACCUGUGGACUUUGAGAGGGUAAUAAGUGGGGUGGGAAGGGA